GACGAACCGUCCAAACGUUAUUCGGAAUCACUGGGCUUAAAGGGUGCGUAGGCGGCGCGGUAAGUUGGGUGUGAAAUCCCUCGGCUCAACCGAGGAACUGCGCCCAAAACUACCGUGCUCGAGGGAGAUAGAGGUAAGCGGAACUUAGGGUGGAGCGGUGAAAUGCGUUGAUAUCCUAAGGAACACCGGUGGCGAAAGCGGCUUACUGGAUCUCUUCUGACGCUGAGGCACGAAAGCUAGGGUAGCGAACGGG
This 253-nucleotide ribosomal RNA is filed under the name uncultured bacterium. RNAcentral describes it as "partial 16S ribosomal RNA". It matches the Rfam family "Bacterial small subunit ribosomal RNA", at positions 524 to 776 of the family's 1533-position model. The record is from RNAcentral.